Non-coding RNA from Gemmatimonadetes bacterium 13_1_40CM_70_15, 98 nucleotides. The record is from Rfam. Lineage: Bacteria; Pseudomonadati; Gemmatimonadota.
CCCCAGGUCCGCAGGUCAGCCGCUCGCGAACCGCGUCAGGCCCCCGCAGGGAGCAGCGCUAAGCGAUGUCGGAUGUCGCUGCGGGGAGCCUGGGGCAU